GACGAACGCUGGCGGCGUGCUUAACACAUGCAAGUCGAACGGAAAGGCCCUGCUUUUGUGGGGUGCUCGAGUGGCGAACGGGUGAGUAACACGUGAGUAACCUGCCCUUGUCUUUGGGAUAACUUCAGGAAACUGGGGCUCAUACCGGAUAGGAGCUCCUGCUGCAUGGUGGGGGUUGGAAAGUUUCGGCGGUUGGGGAUGGACUCGCGGCUUAUCAGCUUGUUGGUGGGGUAGUGGCUUACCAAGGCUUUGACGGGUAGCCGGCCUGAGAGGGUGAACGGCCACAAUGGGACUGAGAUACGGCCCAGACUCCUACGGGAGGCAGCAGUGGGGAAUAUUGCACAAUGGGCGGAAGCCUGAUGCAGCAACGCCGCGUGCGGGAUGACGGCCUUCGGGUUGUAAACCGCUUUCGCCUGUGACGAAGCGUGAGUGACGGUAAUGGGUAAAGAAGCACCGGCUAACUACGUG
Molecule: ribosomal RNA, 468 nt
Filed under: uncultured bacterium
Lineage: Bacteria
Description: partial 16S ribosomal RNA
Rfam family: Bacterial small subunit ribosomal RNA
Source: RNAcentral